GUCAUAACCAGUGACUAUCCUGGUCACCUGUCACGCAUCCUUGCUUUCUUCUGCCCUGCAGGCUAAGUUCUUUGGUUGACUGCCCAUCUAUCCCCAGGAACACAGUGUUCUGUUCACCUUAGCCAGGCCUUUGGCCCCACGCCAACCUGCUUCUCAAACAACCAGCCGCAUUCCAGCCACUGACAGCCAAAAGUAGCUGCCUGCACCACUGUCCACGUCAUUGUCACAGCUCUAAUGUGACAGCUUCCGUCAGAACUCCACUGUAGCCCCUCCUGGUAUUCCCUAGGGUAUGGCUACAUAGUAUGUCCUCCAGCCCCCUGAAGGAGCAAGAUACCUGCUUCUCGUCCUGUGCCUGCCUUCAUCUCCUCCCAAACCUCCCCUCCCACAGGCCUUCCUUGUUGUCUGUCUCCUUUACUAUGUUAACACACACCUUUUAUUGUGUCUCCUGUGUUCUUACAGCCUCCUAACUGUGUCCAUACCAUGUUCUUCAGCCCAUGUCCUCAACAAGGACUCCGUGACCAUGACGCUCCUUUCACCUACCAAGGCAGCUUCUGCCAGGAGCACACAGACCCAGCUAUACCACUCCUGGACAUACACCCAAAAGAUGCUCCACUAUACCACAAGGACACUUGCUCAACUAUAUAUCAGUUUUAUUGGUAAUAGCCAGAAACUGGAAGCAACCUAGAUGUCCCUCAACGGAAGAACAGAUAAAGAAAAGAUAGUACAUCUACACAGCGGAAUACUAUUCAGCUACUAAAAACAAAGACAUCAUGAAAUCUGCAGGUAAAUGGAUGGAACUCAUAAUUAUCAUCCUGAGUGAGGUAACCCAGAGCCAGAAAGACCCGUAUGGCGUGUGCUCACUUAUAACUGGAGAUCAGCCAUAAAGUGCAGGGUAACCAUGCUACAAGCAAAGGCCCAAAGGAACUGGGUAAUAAGGAAGGCGCAAGAGAGGAUGUGUGAAUCUCACUCAGAAAGGAAAAUGAAAUAGUCAUAGGAGGUGGAUGGAGAGAGAAGGUGGGAGAGGGCGUGAGGAAGGGGAUAAGGAUCAGGUGUGAGGGAGGGGCCGGGGAGGUCUGGGAGUGAGAAUGGAAAUUGGUGAAGGGUGUCUCUGGGACUCACCUAUGGAGACCUGGGACUGGGGAGACUCUAGAGAGUUUAUGGGGGUGACCAAGCUGAGAUUCCUGCCUUGUGUGUGGGGGUGGAUAUAGAGGCUAAAGUGGCCACCUCCUGUAGCCAGGCAGGACUUCCAGUGAAGGAGGGAGACAUCAACCCACUGUCAACCCCAAAUUUGUCCUACCUACAAGAUGUGCAGGGGCAAAGUUGGAGCAGAGACUGAAGGAACGGCCAACCGAUGAUUGGCCCACCUUUAGAUCCACCCAUGGGAGAGAGCCAACCCCUGAC
RNAcentral lists this long non-coding RNA (1401 nucleotides) under Mus spicilegus (steppe mouse). Its description in RNAcentral is "lncRNA (ENSMSIG00000021227.1)". Lineage: Eukaryota; Metazoa; Chordata; Mammalia; Rodentia; Muridae. The record is from RNAcentral.